UACGGGGGGGGCAAGCGUUGUUCGGAAUUACUGGGCGUAAAGGGCUCGUAGGUGGCCGACUAAGUCGGACGUGAAAUCCCUCGGCUUAACCGGGGAACUGCGUCCGAUACUGGUUGGCUUGAGUGUAGGAGAGGGAUGCGGAAUUCCAGGUGUAGCGGUGAAAUGCGUAGAUAUCUGGAGGAACACCGGUGGCGAAGGCGGCAUCCUGGACUACUACUGACGCUGAGGAGCGAAAGCCAGGGGAGCAAACGGG
This 253-nucleotide ribosomal RNA is filed under the name uncultured bacterium. RNAcentral's name for it is "partial 16S ribosomal RNA". It matches the Rfam family "Bacterial small subunit ribosomal RNA", at positions 524 to 776 of the family's 1533-position model. The record is from RNAcentral.